RNAcentral lists this transfer RNA (87 nucleotides) under Chlorobium ferrooxidans DSM 13031. It matches the Rfam family "tRNA". Rfam says of the family: Transfer RNA (tRNA) molecules are approximately 80 nucleotides in length. Their secondary structure includes four short double-helical elements and three loops (D, anti-codon, and T loops). Lineage: Bacteria; Pseudomonadati; Chlorobiota; Chlorobiia; Chlorobiales; Chlorobiaceae. The record is from Rfam by way of RNAcentral. RNAcentral also lists the same sequence under 2 other names.
GGAGAGGUGGCAGAGUGGUUGAAUGUGACGGUCUCGAAAACCGUUGUGCGCGCAAGUGUACCGUGGGUUCGAAUCCCACCCUCUCCG